ACGAAGGUCCCAAGCGUUGUUCGGAUUUACUGGGCGUAAAGAGUCUGUAGGCGGUGGGGUAAGUCAGAUGUGAAAUCCCGGGGCUCAACCCCGGAACUGCAUCCGAUACUGCCUCACUUGAGGGUUGGAGGGGAGUCUGGAAUUCUCGGUGUAGCAGUGAAAUGCGUAGAUAUCGAGAGGAACACUAGUGGCGAAGGCGAGACUCUGGACAACACCUGACGCUGAGAGACGAAGGCCAGGGGAGCGAAAAGG
This 252-nucleotide ribosomal RNA is filed under the name uncultured bacterium. Its description in RNAcentral is "partial 16S ribosomal RNA". It matches the Rfam family "Bacterial small subunit ribosomal RNA", at positions 525 to 776 of the family's 1533-position model. The record is from RNAcentral.